CUAGAGUCAUAGUGAUUCUGAUAUUGUUGUCUUCAUAUUCGUACUUUUACUUUGGAUUCGGAGACAUUUAGCUUUAUAUGAUUCUACCCCAAUCUGUCAUUCUCCAAACAUAACCGAUGGCAAAACUAUAAUCACACAGUUUUUCCCUCCAGCUUCUUAGUUUCCAGUCAUUAACAAAAAAGAAAGAAAGAAAGAAAAAUGUUAAAGGUACUGAGAAAAGUUCAGUGCUUACAGCUGGUUUCAGCAAUUUCAACUUGCGCAAGACCCCAUGUUUGUGAAAACAACCCAAGAAUCUUUGAACAGGAUGUAAUCAACCUCCGAUCUGCUGAGAAACGCUGCAAAAAUGACUUCAGUUGCCAAAAAUAAUAACGUCGUUUACAAGCAGCUCUUCCUAUGUCUAAGGAAGAACCAGCCACGCGUGCGAGUUUAUGCUGGCUUCAGACAAGCAAGCAAGGAAAAGGGCAAAUCCUUCCUCCCUCCCUUAAAAUACACAGUAUCGGAACCCGCGGGAAGCCGGAGCCCAUUUCAAAGGUAUUGGCAAUAUUGGCGGAGGUUCAUAUCCACAAAAAUCCAAACAAUUAUGUGAUUUGGUGCCUGGAAGUCAUUACUGGAAAUUUGGCUCUAAGUGAGCUGGCAGUAUCCAGGAAAAUGAUCUUGGGUAUACAGGUAAAUAGAAAUUAUAGCUCUUCAGUGACAGCAAGAGUCAUCAUGAUUUUUUUUUUAGAGUUGUUGAUGACUCAAAUACCACCGAAACAGCUGGAAAUGGCAGCACCUGAAAUGGAAAAAACAAGAGCUGAAAGUUUAUUUUGAAUGAGAGGCAUUGUCCAACUCUGAGACUGAAUGAUGGCAGCUGAGAGUAAGUGCAAGCACAAUCAAUAAUGACUCCAGGUAUGAAAUUAUUCAGAAUCUCUCUUGUUUUCCAUGUUUUUCUCCUGCUACAUUCACAAUGUAUCUGUUCACCGCAAUACUAUCUGUGGAGGAGGAAAAAAUUUCCUCAGUUUAGUUGUUCUUAAUGAUAGCUUUUGAGCUGUCCUGAUUUGAAAUUACAGUGAUAGAAGGGGCUGUUUCAGAUAAAAGAAACAAUGUAUUCCAAAGCCAAAUUGUAUAUUGGGCAGGUAAGAAAGCUUCAUCAUUAAAUUGUCUUUAAUAUGCUUCGCUUUUACCUUCUGCCUUAAAUUUUCAUAUUAGCCACUUUCUCUUUUCUGUGCUGUGUAGCUUUGGGCAAGGUUAUUUCAUUGAUCCUGGUCCUUUCCAAUGUUAAUAUUUUAUUGAUAUAGACCAUAGGAACUGCUCUUAAAUUUGUGUUGAACAACCUAAAAUUGCAGCAUUUUAUAUUUGAAUACCACAUCAAGAGUUUGCAAGGUACUUUAACAUCAUAUUUAAUUAAACUUCACUGCAAUACAAUAUGUUGUCCAGAAUAUGUAUUUUUUAAGCCUCCUUCUUUAAUAGUCAUACUUCAUGUGUCAUACGUAUAUAUCACAGACACAUCACUAUAAGCAACAUGCCCCAACUUAUGCUUUGUGUUUUGUUUUAGGAUUUCCUUUUCAAUAUAACUUUUUUAAAAAUUUUUUUUAUUUUUAGGGCUGCAGCUAUGGCAUAUGGAAGUUCCCAGGCUAGGGGUUGAAUUGGAGCUGCAGCUGCCAGCCUAUAUCACAGCCACACCAAUGUCAAAUUCAAGCCAAGAUCCUUAACCCACUGAGCAAGGCCAAGGAUCUAACCCACCUUCUCAUGGAUACUAGUUGGCUUCAUAACCUGGUGAGCCACAACAGGAACUCCUUUUAUCAAUACGAUUUUUAAAAAAAAUAAAAACCUUCCUCCUACUUAUAUUACAAAAAAUAAGACCACUUAGUGAUGCAGAAAUCUUUCUCUCUUUCUUUCUUUCUUUCUUUCUUUCUUUUUGAUUUCUAUAAUGAUGUAAAGCACUGAUUGGGCCAGUUAUCACAUGGAAUAUGAAUAUGAAUAAGAUGAAAUUCUUGACUUCAAUGAAAUUAAAGUCUUUUGUUUUCCUUACCAAAUCCUUCUUUGCCAGCACUCUCACUCAACAAUUUCAGUUUAAAAAAAAAAAAAAAGGCACUUAUUUUAAAACCUGGGGAGGCAAGCUGGAGCCAGGACAGACUUUAUACUUGUUGGAACUGUUCUGACCAUGCUUAGAUGUACAACAUUCUUUUUCAUUUGGUUGCCUUUAUAAUGCAAAGGGCAGAGGCAAAUGAUUCAGAGCACAAUCGGCGCCAUCCAGAGUAUUGAAACACUCCUCUUAAUGACAAUGCCAAGUUACUCUGUUCGUGAAACACUUGAAAAAUGAGAACAGCGAGCCUUCAAGAGAGAACAGAGUUGGCUCCAAUGCUUUCAUUACCAAAAGAAGAUGUUAAAAUGCAUAGAAAUGUUAAAUCUCUACUAAAAAAA
RNAcentral lists this long non-coding RNA (2403 nucleotides) under Sus scrofa (pig). Its description in RNAcentral is "lncRNA (ENSSSCG00030060536.1)". The record is from RNAcentral. Lineage: Eukaryota; Metazoa; Chordata; Mammalia; Artiodactyla; Suidae.